UCAUCAUUUUGUUGUUGUUUUUUAUCUCCGGUCUAGACAGGCUAGACUUAGAUUUAGUAUCUUCAUACGGUAUAUGUAUUUUAUACAUCACCUAAUAACAAUUUUAACAACCAAUAGAUAGAUCUAUAGAUAUAUAUAUAGUAAUCCGGUCUUAAUAGAAGAUCGUUACGGUUUUCAUUCAUACAUGCCAUUGUAUGUGUAUUUGUUUGAUAGAACUACACAUAUUUAUAAGAACUGAUCGUUACAAAAUGUAUUGGCAAACAAGGUUAAAAUUUGUCUUUGGAAAAAUCGUCCCGACGUGGUCAGAAAGAGUUAUCCCCCUUGGCCGGCAUAGCGAUCGGUUUUCGAUCAAACAUUUAUCGAUACUGAGAUGGAGAACGUCAACGUGCCUGCUGACCCUGCACAUGACGCAUGGUAUCCAAGUGGGCUGUGUCCUGCCACAUUCAGGAAAUUUGAGGUGCAACCCUUGUAGGAAAUCAGUUUAAAGUAGACCCAGUGAGAUGGGCUGGGCUGAAGGGAAAAUAAUAUGGUUCAAGGACUGUGAGACAGACAGGGAUGCAACUCUGCCCAGCAAAUUGAGGUGGCUUCUUGGAUGACUGUAUUACCUGUGCCUUCUAUGGCCUUAAACUUUCACAUACCUUAUGAAGUUUGUUUGUGUUUUCAAUAUCUUCUCUGAAAAUCAUAUUUUCAAUAAGCUGAGAUUUUGUGUAUUUGAUCCCACUAACAUGAUGCCAAUACAACUUCAAGCUGUCAAGACAUGGCAACCAUAUUGAACAUAUACUUUUCACCCUUUAGAAAGCCACUUCUGCAUUUACAUUAUGAAAUUUGAUAUACAGUAAUUAUUUAGUAAACCCAAACACAGUGUCAUAUUUUGCAAGUUUUUCUUAUAUUUGGAACUGCAACAUUUUGUCUUCAUGUGCUGCUGCAGCAGUCAUGAUGAAUGUGUUCUUUUGACUCGUUUCAUUACCAAUUAUUAUCCCCCACAACAUGUUUUGCGGGGGUAUUAAAAUGGACAUGGUCAGUCCUUGCAUUCAUACUUCUGUGUAAGAUUUUGAAAAAACGUUUACUAUUUUCUUCACCAAUCAUGGUACAUGGAUAGGCCUAGUGGUGACCUGGUGCCUGUUGAUAGUUUUGGAUUUUUGUAAAAUGUAUCUUUUUAGUUUCCAUGGCAACAACUUUGACUGAAAUAGGAGGGUAGUGAUCGUUCUUGGAACAUACCUUAAAAAUCUACAAUAUUUCUUCACCAAACUUGACACACAGAUCGGUCUAGUGGUGAACUGGUGCCUUUUAAUAGUUUAGGAUUUUUUUUAAAUUAAUAUUUUGAGAUGCCACAACUUUGACUCAUACUGAAAAUGAGGGUAGUGCUCCUUUCUAUGCAGAUUAAUUUUUUUUUACAAUAUUUCCUUAACAAGCAUGGCACAUAGAUAGGUCUAGUGUUGAACUGGUGCCUUUUGAUAAUUUGGGAUAUUUAGUUUCCAUAGCAAGUAUUUAAUAUUUAGAGGAUAAUGGUGAAUUUGUCUUCUUGCAUAUACUGUCAUCCUUUUAAUUGGUCAAGAUGCUGUGAGAAAGUCUGUUCUGUAGAUAAAUAGUUUUGUUUCUUUUGCUUAUUUAUUAUACCUUUGUAUUGCCUUUUUGUUGUAAUAAUAUAUUCCGUGAAAAAGUACAGGGAAGCUACAGAGCCAUUUUAACACCUAUACCCAGGGAAGUUUGUUCGAACAGUAUUUCUGUCAGUCAUGUGUGAGGACAGCCAAAAGGUAAUGAAGGGAAAAAUUAUUACAUCAGAGCUACAGAUAAGCAGCGUAUUUGUGUAAAAUACCCCCCAAAAUUAUUUAAAACCCAAUUACUUUCCAUUAACUUGUGUACAGAAACGCAUGCAUUAAAUGAAAAACUCAAAUUAUUAAAACAGCUCGCGUAAAUGCCCAAUGAAGCUUUUUCAGCAUGCAUACAAAGGAGCUAAUUUCUGAAACACAAUUACAAGCUUAUUUACUUUCUCAGUCAAACCUAUGUAUUUAGAACAUUAUUUCAUUUUUUUGAAAUCUGAAAAUGUUCACUAAUUUUGGGAAAGACCCAAGAGAGUGAUGAAACGAUGAGUGAAAAAAUAUUGGUUACCCAAUGAAAAAUGUAAUAACCCAAUUAAAAUAGAAACCCUAGAGUAAAAACUGAAUUGCUCAAAAAGUUAUCUGGAGCUCUGUUACAUGAGUCAGUUUAAUGGCACCAAUACAAUGGGCACAUCUGGCCUCCAUUAGGUUGAAUCUGGUAAACUGUGUCUGUGAUUUUUUGGGGUGACGACAUUGCAGCCAUAUUGAAUGUUAUUUUGACCAGGUACUCAUGUAUCAUGGUGUUAUUCAUUUAACAGGCUGUAAUACUAUAUUUCAAUCUCCAAUGUGCUAUGUUUCAGUGAUCAUAUGUUCCAUUUGGUCAUGCCAUCAUCUUUCACCUUUUUGUGUCCUAAUAAUGGAAUGUACCAGUUUCACUGUCCAGUUACAAGAAGCCUGGUGCAAAUAACUUGUUUGGUCCAGUUGCACCCAACAAAGGGCAACUACCAUGCUGUAAUGAAACUUGAUGGUAUCAGUUUACACCAACGCUAAACUACAUAUACAGCUCCCAAUACAGUGUGCUUUGAGAAGGGAGAGCAACUAUGCCCUGUACGUUUCUGGAAAGAAGAAGUGUUGAGAAGAAGAGUUCUGUGUUGAAGUCAGCAUUGGCAUCCUGAGUAGUGAAAAGAUCAGCAGGGAGUAGCAUCAGUUCGCUACUGUGUGGAGGGACAGUGUUUCUCCCUAUACUCAUGGACAGUACUGUACAUCUAAACAUAUGAUUCAUAUUAUAAAUUGUUUCAUAAUGUGAGGUGGGUUUUUUUCAUUCAUAAUAUCAAUUAUCAUAUAUGGUGAAUUUAGCAUCUUACAAAUAUACUGUGCAUGGAAUUUCUUCACUUACACUGUUUUCAGCAUUUUGAGGCAAAACUCUUUUCAUGUGUUACAUUUAUGUUUAUUGUUUCCUCAACAAUAAAGAACUAGCAAAAUGA
Haliotis rufescens (red abalone) is the source of this 3022-nucleotide RNA transcript. RefSeq lists it as uncharacterized. The transcript has 6 exons. NCBI's taxonomy places the organism in Eukaryota, Metazoa, Mollusca, Gastropoda, Lepetellida, Haliotidae. The record is from RefSeq and is a predicted model, not a curated record.